UACGUAGGGUGCGAGCGUUAAUCGGAAUUACUGGGCGUAAAGCGUGCGCAGGCGGUUAUGUAAGACCGGUGUGAAAUCCCCGGGCUUAACCUGGGAACUGCAUUGGUGACUGCAUUGCUGGAGUAUGGCAGAGGGGGGUGGAAUUCCACGUGUAGCAGUGAAAUGCGUAGAGAUGUGGAGGAACACCGAUGGCGAAGGCAGCCCCCUGGGCCAAUACUGACGCUCAUGCACGAAAGCGUGGGGAGCAAACAGG
This 253-nucleotide ribosomal RNA is filed under the name uncultured bacterium. RNAcentral describes it as "partial 16S ribosomal RNA". It matches the Rfam family "Bacterial small subunit ribosomal RNA", at positions 524 to 776 of the family's 1533-position model. The record is from RNAcentral.